CCUACGGGAGGCAGCAGUGGGGAAUAUUGCACAAUGGGGGAAACCCUGAUGCAGCAACGCCGCGUGAGUGAUGACGGCCUUCGGGUUGUAAAGCUCUGUCUUCAGGGACGAUAAUGACGGUACCUGAGGAGGAAGCCACGGCUAACUGCGUGCCAGCAGCCGCGGUCAUACGGAGGAUGCGAGCGUUAUCCGGAUUUAUCGGGGUAAAGGGGUGCGCAGGCGGCCUGUAAAGUCAGCGGUAAAAGCCCGGGGCCCAACCCCGGCGAGCCGUUGAAACUGGCGGGCUGGAGUGGGAGAGAAGUAGGCGGAAUGCGCGGUGUAGCGGUGAAAUGCUUAGAUAUCGCGCAGAACCCCGAUUGCGAAGGCAGCGUACCGGAUCCACACUGACGCUGAGGCACGAAAGCGUGGGUAUCGAACAGGAUUAGAUACCCGGGUAGUC
Molecule: ribosomal RNA, 439 nt
Filed under: uncultured bacterium
Lineage: Bacteria
Description: partial 16S ribosomal RNA
Rfam family: Bacterial small subunit ribosomal RNA
Source: RNAcentral